GAGUUUGAUCCCGGCUCAGAUUGAACGCUAGCGGGAUGCCUUACACAUGCAAGUCGAACGGCAGCACGGACUUCGGUCUAGUGGCGAGUGGCGAACGGGUGAGUAAUGUAUCGGAACGUGCCUAGUAGCGGGGGAUAACUACGCGAAAGCGUAGCUAAUACCGCAUACGCCCUACGGGGAAAGCAGGGGAUCGCAAGAACCUUGCACUAUUAGAGCGGCCGAUAUCGGAUUAGCUAGUUGGUGGGGUAACGGCUCACCAAGGCGACGAUCCGUAGCUGGUUUGAGAGGACGACCAGCCACACUGGGACUGAGACACGGCCCAGACUCCUACGGGAGGCAGCAGGUGGGGAAUUUUGGACAAUGGGGGAAACCCUGAUCCAGCCAUCCCGCGUGUGCGAUGAAGGCC
This 406-nucleotide ribosomal RNA is filed under the name uncultured microorganism. RNAcentral's name for it is "bacterial SSU rRNA". It matches the Rfam family "Bacterial small subunit ribosomal RNA", at positions 9 to 416 of the family's 1533-position model. The record is from RNAcentral.